Molecule: long non-coding RNA, 2073 nt
Filed under: Danio rerio (zebrafish)
Lineage: Eukaryota; Metazoa; Chordata; Actinopteri; Cypriniformes; Danionidae
Description: lncRNA (ENSDARG00000117624.1)
Source: RNAcentral
GUUUGAUGCAACAUUAAUGAAAAUGCAAGCAUCUAUGUGUUAAUGAAAGGAUAAAAAUGUGUUCAUUUAUUUUGUUCUCUAUCCUUAGACCAGUCUACCACAACAGAACCACCAACAACAACAACAACGGCAACAGCAUCACCACUAACAACAACAACAACGCCACUGCCAGCAACGACAACAACAACGCCACAAACAACCAACACAACAACAACGACAAUACCACCGCCAACAACAAUGACAACAACACCACUGUCAACAACAACGACAACACCACAGACAACAACAACACCACCGACAACAACACCACUGCCAACAACCCCACUGCCAAUAACAACGACAACACCAUCCCCAACAACGACAACAACAACACCACCAGUGCUAACAACAAUGACACCACUACCGACAACAACAACAACAACAACUCCACCGCUAAUGACAACACCAGCACCACCAACACCGCCGCCAACGACAACAACAUCAACGCCAACAACAACGCCAACAACAACAACACCACAGCCAACAACAACACCAACAACAACAACACCACCGCCAACGACAACAACAACACCACCACCAACAACAACGACAACAACACUGCCAACAACAACACCACAGCCAACAACAACGCCAUCACCACCAACAACAACAACGCCACCACCAACAACAACAACACCACAGCCAACAACAACGCCACCGCCAAUGACAACAACAACAACAACACCACCGCCAACAACAACAACAACACCACAGCCAACAACAACACCACCACCAACAACAACAACAACAACACCACUGCCAACAACAACAACACCGCCAACAACGACAACAACAACGACAACAACACCACCACCGCCAACAACAACAACACCACCAACGACAACAACGCCACCUCCAACAACAACACCCCCGCCAAUGACUACAACAACGCCACCACCAACAACAACAACAACAACAACACCACCGCCAACGACAACAACAACACAACUGCCAACAACACCACUGCCAACAACAACGACAACAACAACAACGCCACUGCCAACUACAAAAGUAAUAAUAAUAACACAAACACCUAAACCAGAAACACCAAUACCAACAACCCAGGCACCUGUAAGUUAUCCCAUGUCACUUUCAUUAAAAGAGACUUUUGAUGCAAACCUGCAUAACGUAAACAGUGACAAAUUCAAGAAAUACAAAUCCGAUAUUGAGAAGGCAAUCAGUGAAAGUUACAAGGGUGUAAAAGGUUUCAUUUCUGCGACUGUCACUGGUUUUAGGUAUGAUAUAUUUUCCUUCCUUCAGUUUCUGCUAUGGUAUGGUCAUUAUACUUUUGUUGUAGCAAUGCACAAUUUCUAGUUUCUAAAUAGCUUUUGUGUUUGAGCAGGCCCGGAAGUGUGGUCGUAGACUUUUUUAUCACAUCAUCUACAGAAGUAGCAAUUUCUGUGGAAACAAGUCAAGCGAUCGUCACCAACAUGCAGGAUCUGAAGUACACAGUUGACACCGCUUCGGUCGCUCAAAGUGGUAAAAGAAAUGCUGUGUUUUUUUCUUUAGAACAAAUCUGCAAAAUGAUAUAGUACGAAAAUAGAAUUAACUGUAUAUUUCAAAAUAAUAUUUUAAUAAUGAAAACCCAUUGAAGUUGUUUGUAGGGGUUUCUUUAACAUCUAAAUCUAUAUAUUUUAGAGAACAUAAAGCUGAGCACAAGAGACUCUGUGUUUCCUGAAGAAGAUAUGACACUAUCGUGUCAAGCAAACAAUGCAAUUGGUAAUAUAGACUGGAGGUUUCAAGGAACUAUAAUACAGCCAAAACCUCAUCAUGUGUCCUCAGCAGAUAAUCGCACACUCACAGUUAAAAGUGUUGACAUUAGAGAUAAUGGUAAGUUUAAACCCACUGAAAUAUCUGUCUGUCUGUUUGUCUGUCUGUCCAGAAGUAGUACCAACCAAACACACAAAUAAAUCCAUAUAUGCAAAUGAAAAAAAAAAAAAUCUAAUUAGUUUACAAAGUAAGUUGUGCAUAAUAAAGUGAAAUGGUGCAGGGAAAAAGUAUUGAACACAUGAAUAAAAGAAGCUGUAGAAAGUC